RNAcentral lists this ribosomal RNA (545 nucleotides) under Yamadazyma diddensiae. RNAcentral's name for it is "eukaryotic LSU rRNA". It matches the Rfam family "Eukaryotic large subunit ribosomal RNA", at positions 65 to 669 of the family's 3401-position model. Lineage: Eukaryota; Fungi; Ascomycota; Pichiomycetes; Serinales; Debaryomycetaceae. The record is from RNAcentral.
UCCACCGUUAUGCCUUAGUAGCGGCGAGUGAGCGGCAUAGCUCAAAUUUGAAAUCUGGCGUCUUCGGCGUCCGAGUUGUAAUUUGAAGAAGGUAUCUUUGAGGCUGGCUCUUGUCUAUGUUCCUUGGAACAGGACGUCACAGAGGGUGAGAAUCCCGUGCGAUGAGAUGCCCAGUUUCGUGUAAAGUUCCUUCGACGAGUCGAGUUGUUUGGGAAUGCAGCUCUAAGUGGGUGGUAAAUUCCAUCUAAAGCUAAAUAUUGGCGAGAGACCGAUAGCGAACAAGUACUGUGAAGGAAAGAUGAAAAGAACUUUGAAAAGAGAGUGAAAAAGUACGUGAAAUUGUUGAAAGGGAAGGGCUUGAGGUCAGACUUGGUUUACCAGGCCAGCAUCAGUUUGGGUGGCAGGAUAAUAGCUAAGGAAAGUGGCACGAUUUCGGUUGUGUGUUAUAGCCUUGGUUGAUACUGCCUGCCUAGACUGAGGACUGCGUCUUUGACUAGGAUGCUGGCAUAAUGACCUUAAGCCGCCCGUCUUGAAACACGGACCCA